GUGGGGAAUAUUGGGCAAUGGGCGCAAGCCUGACCCAGCAACGCCGCGUGAAGGAAGAAGGCUUUCGGGUUGUAAACUUCUUUUACCAGGGACGAAACAAAUGACGGUACCUGGUGAAUAAGCCACGGCUAACUACGUGCCAGUAGCCGCGGUAAUACGUAGGUGGCGAGCGUUAUCCGGAUUUAUUGGGUGUAAAGGGCGUGUAGGCGGGACAGCAAGUCAGAUGUGAAAACCAGAGGCUCAACCUCUGGCCUGCAUUUGAAACUGUUGUUCUUGAGUGUCGGAGAGGUAAUCGGAAUUCCGUGUGUAGCGGUGAAAUGCGUAGAUAUACGGAGGAACACCAGUGGCGAAGGCGGAUUACUGGACGAUAACUGACGCUGAGGCGCGAAAGCGUGGGGAGCAAACAGGAUUAGAAACCCGGGUAGUCC
Molecule: ribosomal RNA, 428 nt
Filed under: uncultured bacterium
Lineage: Bacteria
Description: partial 16S ribosomal RNA
Rfam family: Bacterial small subunit ribosomal RNA
Source: RNAcentral